UAUACCGUGAAACUGCGAAUGGCUCAUUAAAUCAGUUAUCGUUUAUUUGAUAGUACCUUACCACUUGGAUAACCGUGGUAAUUCUAGAGCUAAUACAUGCUAAAAACCCCGACUUCGGAAGGGGUGUGUUUAUUAGAUAAAAAACCAAUGCCCUUCGGGGCUCUUUGGUGAUUCAUGAUAACCUAACGGAUCGCAUGGCCUUGCGCCGGCGACGGUUCAUUCAAAUUUCUGCCCUAUCAACUUUCGAUGGUAAGGUAUUGGCUUACCAUGGUUUCAACGGGUAACGGGGAAUUAGGGUUCGAUUCCGGAGAGGGAGCCUGAGAAACGGCUACCACAUCCAAGGAAGGCAGCAGGCGCGCAAAUUACCCAAUCCCGACACGGGGAGGUAGUGACAAUAAAUACUGAUACAGGGCUCUUUUGGGUCUUGUAAUUGGAAUGAGUACAAUUUAAACCCCUUAACGAGGAACAAUUGGAGGGCAAGUCUGGUGCCAGCAGCCGCGGUAAUUCCAGCUCCAAUAGCGUAUAUUAAAGUUGUUGCAGUUAAAAAGCUCGUAGUUGAAACUUGGGUCUGGCUAGCGGGUCCGCCUCACCGCGUGCACUUGUCCGGCUGGACCUUUCCUUCUGGAGAACCUCAUGCCCUUCACUGGGUGUGUUGGGGAACCAGGACUUUUACUUUGAAAAAAUUAGAGUGUUCAAAGCAGGCCUUUGCUCGAAUACGUUAGCAUGGAAUAAUAGAAUAGGACGUGCGGUCCUAUUUUGUUGGUUUCUAGGAUCGCCGUAAUGAUUAAUAGGGAUAGUCGGGGGCAUCAGUAUUCAAUUGUCAGAGGUGAAAUUCUUGGAUUUAUUGAAGACUAACUACUGCGAAAGCAUUUGCCAAGGAUGUUUUCAUUAAUCAGUGAACGAAAGUUAGGGGAUCGAAGACGAUCAGAUACCGUCGUAGUCUUAACCGUAAACUAUGCCGACUAGGGAUCGGGCGAUGUUUCUAUCUUGACUCGCUCGGCACCUUACGAGAAAUCAAA
RNAcentral lists this ribosomal RNA (1019 nucleotides) under Petrakia fagi. RNAcentral's name for it is "SSU rRNA". It matches the Rfam family "Eukaryotic small subunit ribosomal RNA", at positions 75 to 1102 of the family's 1831-position model. Lineage: Eukaryota; Fungi; Ascomycota; Dothideomycetes; Pleosporales; Melanommataceae. The record is from RNAcentral.